AAUCUUUUGGAAACGUCAGAAUGGCGCUUUCCCUUCGGGGACAAAGUGACAGGUGGUGCAUGGUUGUCGUCAGCUCGUGUCGUGAGAUGUUGGGUUAAGUCCCGCAACGAGCGCAACCCUUAUUAUUAGUUGCCAUCAUUAAGUUGGGCACUCUAGGUUGACUGCCGGUGACAAACCGGAGGAAGGUGGGGAUGACGUCAAAUCAUCAUGCCCCUUAUGAUUUGGGCUACACACGUGCUACAAUGGACAAUACAAAGGGCAGCUAAACCGCGAGGUCAUGCAAAUCCCAUAAAGUUGUUCUCAGUUCGGAUUGUAGUCUGCAACUCGACUACAUGAAGCUGGAAUCGCUAGUAAUCGUAGAUCAGCAUGCUACGGUGAAUACGUUCCCGGGUCUUGUACACACCGAGA
Molecule: ribosomal RNA, 408 nt
Filed under: uncultured Staphylococcus sp.
Lineage: Bacteria; Bacillati; Bacillota; Bacilli; Caryophanales; Staphylococcaceae
Description: bacterial SSU rRNA
Rfam family: Bacterial small subunit ribosomal RNA
Source: RNAcentral